AGGGUUUGAUUAUGGCUCAGAACGAACGCUGGCGGCAUGGAUUAGGCAUGCAAGUUGAACGAACCACUUCGGUGGAGAGUAGCGGAAGGGUGAGGAACGCGUGAGUAAUCUGCCCCCAAGUUGGGAAUAACAGCUGGAAACGGCUGCUAAUACCGAAUGUGGCUAUUUUCUUGCAUGAGGAGAUGGCUAAAGAUUUAUCGCUUGGGGAUGAGCUCGCGUCCCAUUAGGUAGUUGGUGAGGUAACGGCCCACCAAGCCGAUGAUGGGUAGCUGGUCUGAGAGGAUGGUCAGCCACACUGGGACUGAGACACUGCCCAG
Molecule: ribosomal RNA, 317 nt
Filed under: uncultured bacterium
Lineage: Bacteria
Description: bacterial SSU rRNA
Rfam family: Bacterial small subunit ribosomal RNA
Source: RNAcentral